This 253-nucleotide ribosomal RNA is filed under the name uncultured bacterium. RNAcentral's name for it is "partial 16S ribosomal RNA". It matches the Rfam family "Bacterial small subunit ribosomal RNA", at positions 524 to 776 of the family's 1533-position model. The record is from RNAcentral.
UACGUAGGGGGCAAGCGUUGUCCGGAUUCAUUGGGCGUAAAGAGCGUGUAGGCGGCCAGGUAGGUCCGUUGUGAAAACUCGAGGCUCAACCUCGAGACGUCGAUGGAAACCAUCUGGCUAGAGUCCGGAAGAGGAGAGUGGAGUUCCUGGUGUAGCGGUGAAAUGCGCAGAUAUCAGGAAGAACACCUAUGGCGAAGGCAGCUCUCUGGGACGGUACUGACGCUGAGACGCGAAAGCGUGGGGAGCGAACAGG